This 497-nucleotide ribosomal RNA is filed under the name uncultured bacterium. Its description in RNAcentral is "partial 16S ribosomal RNA". It matches the Rfam family "Bacterial small subunit ribosomal RNA", at positions 28 to 507 of the family's 1533-position model. The record is from RNAcentral.
GAUGAACGCUGGCGGCGUGCCUAAUACAUGCAAGUCGAGCGAACAGACGAGGAUCUUGCUCCUCUGACGUUAGCGGCGGACGGGUGAGUAACACGUGGAUAACCUACCUAUAAGACUGGGAUAACUUCGGGAAACCGGAGCUAAUACCGGAUAAUAUAUUGAACCGCAUGGUUCAAUAGUGAAAGACGGUUUUGCUGUCACUUAUAGAUGGAUCCGCGCCGCAUUAGCUAGUUGGUAAGGUAACGGCUUACCAAGGCAACGAUGCGUAGCCGACCUGAGAGGGUGAUCGGCCACACUGGAACUGAGACACGGUCCAGACUCCUACGGGAGGCAGCAGUAGGGAAUCUUCCGCAAUGGGCGAAAGCUUGACGGAGCCACGCCGCGUGAGUGAUGAAGGUCUUCGGAUUGUAAAACUCUGUUAUUAGGGAAGAACAAAUGUGUAAGUAACUAUGCACGUCUUGACGGUACCUAAUCAGAAAGCCACGGCUAACUACGUG